Molecule: unclassified non-coding RNA, 32 nt
Filed under: Mus musculus (house mouse)
Lineage: Eukaryota; Metazoa; Chordata; Mammalia; Rodentia; Muridae
Description: oocyte_clustered_small_RNA8800
Source: RNAcentral
AUGUCCAUGGGUCAGACCAAAAUGUGUUCCAG